AGGACGAACGCUGGCGGCGUGCUUAACACAUGCAAGUCGAGCGGAAAGGCCCUUCGGGGUACUCGAGCGGCGAACGGGUGAGUAACACGUGAGCAACCUGCCCCUGGCUCUGGGAUAGCCUCCGGAAACGGGGAUUAAUACCGGACAUUCACUUCCUUCCGCAUGGUUGGUGGUGGAAAGUUUUUCGGCCGGGGAGGGGCUCGCGGUCUAUCAGCUUGUUGGCGGGGUAACGGCCCACCAAGGCGACGACGGAUAGCCGGCCUGAGAGGGCGAUCGGCCACACUGGGACUGAGACACGGCCCAGACUCCUACGGGAGGCAGCAGUGGGGAAUAUUGCACAAUGGGCGCAAGCCUGAUGCAGCGACGCCGCGUGGGGGAUGAAGGCCUUCGGGUUGUAACCCCUUUCACCAGGAGCGAAUUCAGACGGUACCUGGGGAAGAAGCGCCGGCUACUACGCGCCAGCAGCCGC
Molecule: ribosomal RNA, 469 nt
Filed under: uncultured bacterium
Lineage: Bacteria
Description: SSU rRNA
Rfam family: Bacterial small subunit ribosomal RNA
Source: RNAcentral